CACAAAUUAUAUAACUUCUACAAUUGAUGCAGAGAGUCGCAUUACUGAAAUAAGGGAAGGUUCCACUGCAAUAGAUUACACCUAUACCUCUUCCGUGACAGAAUAUUUCGUGGCCAGUAACACGUCUGUCACCGAUUUAAACGGUAAUGAACUGCCUGGCGUCAUGGACCAAAUUGGUAAGAGUAGACUAUUCGCGAUAAAAGUAUUUUUCUUUGUUUUACAUUUUAAUAACUGCUAUUUCAUCCUUCAUAGAAAACUAUACCUUGCAAGAAUCAGCGUACUUUUCAUCACAAUCACAUGUAAGCAACACUAUCUCUACUAUCUCUACGCCAAGAGAGGAGCC
Dreissena polymorpha is the source of this 343-nucleotide long non-coding RNA. RefSeq lists it as uncharacterized. The record is from RefSeq and is a predicted model, not a curated record. The transcript has 3 exons. Lineage: Eukaryota; Metazoa; Mollusca; Bivalvia; Myida; Dreissenidae.